AUUUAAUUUAAGGACUGGGGUAUAGCUCUGUGAUAGAGUACUUGCCUAGCAUGAGCGAGGUCUGGGUUCAAUUUCCAGCACCAGGGGGAAAAAAAAAAGGAAGAGGGAUAAAGUGGAUAGAGGCCUUGAAAGGUUAAGUACGAGCACAAGUACAGCACUGUGUUAAGUCAAAAUGAACUGGAUUCACAUGCUUACUCUCACAAAUUAGCUGUAUAGCACAGGGAAAGCUACAAAACCUUCCUAAGCCUAAAUUGUUGAGCUGCCAUAACGUGCAAUCUUAAAUGCUCCAAAAUCCAAAACUUUUUGAGUACUACAAAUGGAAAAUUCCAUACCUGAUCCCAUGUGAUAGGUCACAAUCAAAACACAGGUACACUAAAGAUAUAUAUAAUGAGCUAUGCCAAUCAUGGUGGUACAUGCCUGUAAUCUCAGCAAAUCAGGAAGCUGAGCUAGGAAGAUUGCAAGUUCAAGGACAGGUUGGGCAACUUAUGGAGAACCUGUCUCAAAAUCAAAAGAGCUGGGGAUGUAGCUUAGUGGUCCAGCACCCCUGGGUUCAAUCCCCAGUACAGGGGGCGGAAAAGAAAGAUAUUAGGUUUGGGAUGUAUGUAUAUAAAAUAAAAACAAAUUUAAUGUUUAGACUUGGUCCCAUUCCCAAGAUGUUUCAUUGCACACAUGAAAACAUUCCAAAAUCCAAUUAAAUCCAAAAUCCAGAAAUUCGGGUCCCAAGCAUUUUGGAUAAGGGAUGCUCAACCUACACUUGAUUAAAAGUUCCUUUAAAGUAGGAAUUCAUGUCCCUUUCUAUAUUCAAUGUAGUACUGAAGC
RNAcentral lists this long non-coding RNA (819 nucleotides) under Marmota monax (woodchuck). Lineage: Eukaryota; Metazoa; Chordata; Mammalia; Rodentia; Sciuridae. The record is from RNAcentral.